AGAGCAGCAGAGGAGGGAUCCCCCUUCCAGGAUGAAGAGACGUGCAAUAGAUGUCGUGUGUACAGAGAAACAACAUGAUGAAAAUACAUCAUUGACAAUCCAUAUGACAAAAAUUAAUACAUACAAUGUGAGAAGGUGGAUCCAUUAGGAUGUCAUGUCAAGCAGCUUCCCGGCGUCGCUAAAAAAGAUAGAGCCAGAGCAACAUGACCUCCUCUUCG
Molecule: long non-coding RNA, 218 nt
Organism: Sebastes umbrosus (honeycomb rockfish)
Lineage: Eukaryota; Metazoa; Chordata; Actinopteri; Perciformes; Sebastidae
Exons: 3
Source: RefSeq, a predicted model, not a curated record